GGCGAGGUAGCUCAGUCGGUUAGAGCGUCGGAUUCAUAACCCGGAGGUCACGAGUUCAACUCUCGUCCUCGCUACCA
Molecule: transfer RNA, 77 nt
Filed under: Alphaproteobacteria bacterium
Lineage: Bacteria; Pseudomonadati; Pseudomonadota; Alphaproteobacteria
Description: tRNA-Met
Rfam family: tRNA
About the family: Transfer RNA (tRNA) molecules are approximately 80 nucleotides in length. Their secondary structure includes four short double-helical elements and three loops (D, anti-codon, and T loops). Further hydrogen bonds mediate the characteristic L-shaped molecular structure. tRNAs have two regions of fundamental functional importance: the anti-codon, which is responsible for specific mRNA codon recognition, and the 3' end, to which the tRNAs corresponding amino acid is attached (by aminoacyl-tRNA synthetases). tRNAs cope with the degeneracy of the genetic code in two manners: having more than one tRNA (with a specific anti-codon) for a particular amino acid; and 'wobble' base-pairing, i.e. permitting non-standard base-pairing at the 3rd anti-codon position.
Source: RNAcentral